UGAUUUGUAGAGUCACGGCGUGUACAAAAAACAACGUAAAAUGAGACACAGCCGUCUUCGAAACGUAAACAAACCGGGAACUAUAUUGUCAGGAAGUGGAAGCAUUCUCAGAAAGUGGAAGCGCUGCUACUUGGGCGGAGUGAUUAGCGCAUCACCGUCAACAAAACCAAUGUGAAUAGCAGCGAACGUGACUGGUGAUCAUGGCUGACUUUGAGGAAUUAUCUGAGGAUUUUUACUUGGUAUCAAACCAAGAUCCAGAACCAUAUCUUUUUGAGCCAGAAUACACGGACGAGGAGUUACAAAUUGUGGAAGCUGAUAGACAAAAUGCCGAACAGACUGAGGUCGAGGGGAGAAUCAGAACGAACACGGACUGGUGGUGUAAAUGUUGAACAUGCCAACCUAUGCCGACAGAAACUGAGUGCCUUUGUUGUAGUGAGUGGGACCAGGUAUUGCCAUCAAUGGCGAGGCUUGAUAACAAUGAAAACAUUUGCGUCACUACCACAGAGGAUUUCUCUGCCCUAAUACACCCGGCAGUUGUCGAUUUUGUUUUGCCGUUGUGACAAGACUGAAGAUCAACUGGAAGAAACGCCCGAUACUGAGUGGACCUAAUGAACAGCUGUCCACCAAUCAAUAUAGGUUGGUGUCCUACCGCACAGUUUUGGAGUGGGCCCUGAAAGGAGAAACUUUGGGUAGAAGCAACCGUAAACCACUGCCAUCAUGUGUGGUUGGUGGCAUUCGAAGCAAAUAUCCCUCACAGACUGGUGUCUAUGUGGGAUUUCAAGAAGUGGAGGCGGCAAUGGAAAUGUUGUAACUGUUCCAUCCUUUGACCUCUUACAAGACAGCACAGCUUUAUUUCAUCAUGAAAAUAUGUGAAACCAUCAUCUGCUUUAUACUUAUUGUAGUAUUUUCUAGUUCAAAUACAUUCUUGAAAAAUCUA
This is a long non-coding RNA of Perca fluviatilis (European perch), 937 nucleotides long. RefSeq lists it as uncharacterized. The transcript has 3 exons. The record is from RefSeq and is a predicted model, not a curated record. NCBI's taxonomy places the organism in Eukaryota, Metazoa, Chordata, Actinopteri, Perciformes, Percidae.